GUAGUCAAAUUGGUGCCAAUUGAUUCCAGAUUCAAUACAAAUUCAGCCUUUUGGCACCUUUCAUUUUUAGCGAACACUCUCUUGAAAAUAUCAUUCCAAACUAGCUUGUUUGUCGUUUUCCAGCCCUUCAGCACUGUAUUAUUCUAAACUAUCUUUUUUUAGUUAAAAAAUGUGUGAAGAGAAUAGUAAAACCCAAUGAUCAAUCUGAAGAUUCAGCGAGCAAAGAGAACUUAAUGUAUCUGUGUGAUCAGUGUGAAUUUACUA
Long non-coding RNA from Eurytemora carolleeae, 264 nucleotides. RefSeq lists it as uncharacterized. Lineage: Eukaryota; Metazoa; Arthropoda; Copepoda; Calanoida; Temoridae. The transcript has 2 exons. The record is from RefSeq and is a predicted model, not a curated record.